UAGGGUGGCCAGCUGUCCUGGUUUGCCUGGGACUGAGUUUUCUUGGGAUGCAGGACUUUCAGUGCCAGAAUCAGGAUGGUC
RNAcentral lists this microRNA precursor (81 nucleotides) under Vicugna pacos (alpaca). RNAcentral's name for it is "miRNA (ENSVPAG00000016578.1)". The record is from RNAcentral. Lineage: Eukaryota; Metazoa; Chordata; Mammalia; Artiodactyla; Camelidae.